GGUCGCGCAGGCGCAGAGGAGAAGGGACGAGGCGGAGGUAGCGGCGGGAGGCUGGCACUAGCCUGGGCCACGAUAGGUCGGACUACAGCUGGUAGCAACUGGGGGUCGGAAGUGGAGCCCAGACAACAGCGGAGGAGAAAUUUCCGGGGGCAGAAAAUGAAGGUGUCCGAGAGACUGACAAUUCUCUUCUGACUUCCUCAGUGCUCACUGGCUUUGGGUAUCUCCUGCAGCAAAGUGGCCGCCCCGCCCUCUCAUCCCCUGCGACCCAGCACCCUUCUUCCUUGCCUUGAGGGUGCGCCUUAGACAGCCCGAAGUAUUAAAUUUUCAUAUUGUGAUCCACCAUAGAUACGUAUGUUUUCUUCAUUUAACCUAACGUGAGUAUUUUUCUAUUUUGUUUCAUAGUCAUUGUUACAAAUGACGGAGUAUUCUGUUGAAUAAAUGCACUGUAAUUUAACCUUUCUCUAAUUUCCCCAACUUUAUUAUAUAUAAGUUACAAUGCUCAACCUGUGUAUUGUUUUUCUUAUUUCGAAUUUCCCCCUUUAGGAAAAUUUUUGGAAAGCGACAGUUCUGGGGUAAAGGGCAUAAGGCUUUUUAAAUAACUUUAAGAUUUUAAAGAUAUAUAGAGCCAAUUGCUUUCCGAAAGGUGGUACCAAUUUACAAUUGCACCGGCUGUGAAUGUAAUAGACCGUAGAAAUUGAUCAUACACAAUUGGAAAUGAGUAAGUGGAGAGCUCUAAAAAGUUUUAGUUGUGACCAAAUCUGUUGUGUUGAGUAUCCUAGUAUCAAUGCAACAUUACCAGGAUUGUUAGUGAACUAAACCUUUUAAAUAAUUUUAAUGUUUAUUUCUAGUUUUUCAUCUGUAGCAUUUUACAAUCAGAAUAUAAUUGCUUAUGGUAGAUAAUUUGGAAAACGCAGAAGUAUAUUAAGAACAAAGUCAACAAUAAUUCCACCACCCAGCAAUAAGUACUGAAUGGCUAAAAUAACUCUUUGGUAAAUUUAUUUUCAGUGUUUCCUGUCACCCCAAGCAUUUAUAGAUAUAUAUGUUUAAAAAGAGUCGUGUUAUAUAUAGGAGUUUAUGUUCCUCCCUUGGGUAUUUUGAGAAACUAUAAAAUUAAAUCAUUCUUAUGAUUAAGAAAAACAGUGUUACAGCAACAGCCUGUUUCAAUCCCACCUCCACUUACAUUUCCAUUCCAACACUUCAGUGCUGACUACCACCCACUGUUUGAAAAACUUUCUAGAAUUUACAUGUAUAUUUUAUAUACACUUUGAAUAUAUCUUCCCUUCCUUCUUUACCCCCAUACAUAUCAAAAUAUGCUUUAACUUUGACUAUCUUGUUAUUAACAAAAGACUUAAAUAAAUAUGUUAACUUAAAA
Long non-coding RNA from Pan troglodytes (chimpanzee), 1372 nucleotides. RefSeq lists it as uncharacterized. Lineage: Eukaryota; Metazoa; Chordata; Mammalia; Primates; Hominidae. The transcript has 2 exons. The record is from RefSeq and is a predicted model, not a curated record.